UUGCGGCGUGCUUAACACAUGCAAGUCGAACGGAAAGGCCCUGCUUUUGUGGGGUGCUCGAGUGGCGAACGGGUGAGUAACACGUGAGUAACCUGCCCUUGACUUUGGGAUAACUUCAGGAAACUGGGGCUAAUACCGGAUAGGAGCUCCUGCUGCAUGGUGGGGGUUGGAAAGUUUCGGCGGUUGGGGAUGGACUCGCGGCUUAUCAGCUUGUUGGUGGGGUAGUGGCUUACCAAGGCUUUGACGGGUAGCCGGCCUGAGAGGGUGAUCGGCCACAUUGGGACUGAGAUACGGCCCAGACUCCUACGGGGGGCAGCAGUGGGGAAUAUUGCACAAUGGGCGGAAGCCUGAUGCAGCAACGCCGCGUGCGGGAUGACGGCCUUCGGGUUGUAAACCGCUUUCGCCUGUGACGAAGCGUGAGUGACGGUAAUGGGUAAAGAAGCACCGGCUAACUACGUGCCAGCAGCCGCGGUGAUACGUAGGGUGCGAGCGUUGUCCGGAUUUAUUGGGCGUAAAGGGCUCGUAGGUGGUUGAUCGCGUCGGAAGUGUAAUCUUGGGGCUUAACCCUGAGCGUGCUUUCGAUACGGGUUGACUUGAGGAAGGUAGGGGAGAAUGGAAUUCCUGGUGGAGCGGUGGAAUGCGCAGAUAUCAGGAGGAACACCAGUGGCGAAGGCGGUUCUCUGGGCCUUUCCUGACGCUGAGGAGCGAAAGCGUGGGGAGCGAACAGGCUUAGAUACCCUGGUAGUCCACGCUGUAAACGGUGGGUACUAGGUGUGGGGUCCAUUCCACGGGUUCCGUGCCGUAGCUAACGCUUUAAGUACCCCGCCUGGGGAGUACGGCCGCAAGGCUAAAACUCAAAGGAAUUGACGGGGCCCCGCACAAGCGGCGGAGCAUGCGGAUUAAUUCGAUGCAACGCGUAGAACCUUACCUGGGUUUGACAUGGAUCGGGAGUGCUCAGAGAUGGGUGUGCCUCUUUUGGGGUCGGUUCACAGGUGGUGCAUGGCUGUCGUCAGCUCGUGUCGUGAGAUGUUGGGUUAAGUCCCGCAACGAGCGCAACCCUUGUUCACUGUUGCCAGCACGUUAUGGUGGGGACUCAGUGGAGACCGCCGGGGUCAACUCGGAGGAAGGUGGGGAUGACGUCAAGUCAUCAUGCCCCUUAUGUCCAGGGCUUCACGCAUGCUACAAUGGCUGGUACAGAGAGUGGCGAGCCUGUGAGGGUGAGCGAAUCUCGGAAAGCCGGUCUCAGUUCGGAUUGGGGUCUGCAACUCGACCUCAUGAAGUCGGAGUCGCUAGUAAUCGCAGAUCAGCAACGCUGCGGUGAAUACGUUCCCGGGGCUUGUACACACCGCCCGUCAAGUCAUGAAAGUUGGUAACACCCGAAGCCGGUGGCCUAACCGUUGUGGGGGAGCCGUCGAAGGUGGGACUGGUGAUUAGGA
Molecule: ribosomal RNA, 1436 nt
Filed under: uncultured organism
Description: partial small subunit ribosomal RNA
Rfam family: Bacterial small subunit ribosomal RNA
Source: RNAcentral